This is a long non-coding RNA of Oryza brachyantha (malo sina), 563 nucleotides long. RefSeq lists it as uncharacterized. The transcript is spliced from 3 exons. The record is from RefSeq and is a predicted model, not a curated record. Lineage: Eukaryota; Viridiplantae; Streptophyta; Magnoliopsida; Poales; Poaceae.
GAUACCUGCUUCCUUCCUAACCAACUCAUCAGAAUCAGGAACACAAAGAAACUGUCAGCAAGUAAAAGAGGGUUAUGCUUUUUGUUAAUGCCUGGAUUGCAAAAGGCAAAGAGAGGGGAAUAAAGAAGAGAAAGCAAAGGAAGAAAAGCCAACCGCAGAGAGAGCAGUGAUCUUUUUGGAGGAGGCCAGGGGAGGCAAUUGGUAUAUAUGCAGAUGGCGACUUGACACUAUACCAAUAAUGAACUCACUAAUCAAUCAUUAGGAGUUAAAAAGAAGAUGGGUGUGGGGGCAUGAACAUGAUGCGCGUCAACGCACGGCAAUAAAGAAGUUUGUACACAUUUUUCACAGGGAUUGCACAUGUAUAUAUCUCUCUCUCUCCAUGGAUGGUCCCGGCCGAGCUCUGAGUCCUAUGUACGCAUACAUGCAUGCAUCAUACUGUAUGCACAUGUGCAAUGAUCAUCGUUCAUGCAUGCAAUGUGCAAAACCAUGCAUGUAAAUUUGCUAAACAAUCCCAUGAAAGAUUUUCAUGCAUAGAGUAGUAUAGAGAUAAACAAUACUACUAC